This 898-nucleotide ribosomal RNA is filed under the name Korunomyces terminaliae. RNAcentral describes it as "LSU rRNA". It matches the Rfam family "Eukaryotic large subunit ribosomal RNA", at positions 38 to 967 of the family's 3401-position model. The record is from RNAcentral. Lineage: Eukaryota; Fungi; Ascomycota.
GCAUAUCAAUAAGCGGAGGAAAGAAACCAACAGGGAUUGCCCUAGUAACGGCGAGUGAAGCGGCAACAGCUCAAAUUUGAAAUCUGGCUUCGGCCCGAGUUGUAAUUUGCAGAGGAUGUUUCUGGCGCGGUGCCUUCCGAGUUCCCUGGAACGGGACGCCAUAGAGGGUGAGAGCCCCGUAUGGUUGGAUACUAAGCCUGUGUGAAACUCCUUCAACGAGUCGAGUAGUUUGGGAAUGCUGCUCAAAAUGGGAGGUAAAUCUCUUCUAAAGCUAAAUACCGGCCAGAGACCGAUAGCGCACAAGUAGAGUGAUCGAAAGAUGAAAAGCACCUUGAAAAGGGGGUUAAACAGUACGUGAAAUUGUUGAAAGGGAAGCGCUUAUGACCAGACUUGUGCCGGGCAGCUCAUCCGGGGUUCUCCCCGGUGCACUCUGCCCGGUUCAGGCCAGCAUCGGUUUUUGCUGGGGGAUAAGAACGGCAGGAACGUGGCCCUCCUUCGGGUGGGUGUUAUAACCUGCCGUACGAUACCCUGGCGGAGACCGAGGUUCGCGCUCCGCAAGGAUGCUGGCGUAAUGGUCAUCAGCGACCCGUCUUGAAACACGGACCAAGGAGUCGUCCAUUAGAGCGAGCGUUUGGGUGUAAAACCCGCACGCGUAAUGAAAGUGAAAUUAGGUGAGAGCUUCGGCGCAUCAUCGACCGAUCCUGAUGUUCUCGGAUGGAUUUGAGUAAGAGUUUUAACGGACGGACCCGAAAGACAGUGAACUAUGCUUGUAUAGGGUGAAGCCAGAGGAAACUCUGGUGGAGGCUCGCAGCGGUUCUGACGUGCAAAUCGAUCGUCAAAUAUGAGCAUGGGGGCGAAAGACUAAUCGAACUGUCUAGUAGCUGGUUACCGCCGAGUU